AGGAGCGUCCACCGCAUGGUGGGUGUUGGAAAGAUUUAUCGGUUUUGGAUGGACUCGCGGCCUAUCAGCUUGUUGGUGAGGUAAUGGCUCACCAAGGCGACGACGGGUAGCCGGCCUGAGAGGGUGACCGGCCACACUGGGACUGAGACACGGCCCAGACUCCUACGGGAGGCAGCAGUGGGGAAUAUUGCACAAUGGGCGCAAGCCUGAUGCAGCGACGCCGCGUGAGGGAUGACGGCCUUCGGGUUGUAAACCUCUUUCAGUAGGGAAGAAGCGAAAGUGACGGUACCUGCAGAAGAAGCACCGGCUAACUACGUGCCAGCAGCCGCGGUAAUACGUAGGGUGCGAGCGUUAUCCGGAAUUAUUGGGCGUAAAGAGCUCGUAGGCGGUUUGUCGCGUCUGUCGUGAAAGUCCGGGGCUUAACCCCGGAUCUGCGGUGGGUACGGGCAGACUAGAGUGCAGUAGGGGAGACUGGAAUUCCUGGUGUAGCGGUGGAAUGCGCAGAUAUCAGGAGGAACACCGAUGGCGAAGGCAGGUCUCUGGGCUGUAACUGACGCUGAGGAGCGAAAGCAUGGGGAGCGAACAGGAUUAGAUACCCUGGUAGUCCAUGCCGUAAACGUUGGGCACUAGGUG
RNAcentral lists this ribosomal RNA (633 nucleotides) under Micrococcus luteus. Its description in RNAcentral is "bacterial SSU rRNA". It matches the Rfam family "Bacterial small subunit ribosomal RNA", at positions 173 to 822 of the family's 1533-position model. Lineage: Bacteria; Bacillati; Actinomycetota; Actinomycetes; Micrococcales; Micrococcaceae. The record is from RNAcentral.